ACGUAGGUGGCAAGCGUUGUCCGGAAUUAUUGGGCGUAAAGCGCGCGCAGGCGGUCCUUUAAGUCUGAUGUGAAAGCCCACGGCUCAACCGUGGAGGGUCAUUGGAAACUGGGGGACUUGAGUGCGGAAGAGGAAAGUGGAAUUCCACGUGUAGCGGUGAAAUGCGUAGAGAUCCGGAGGAACACCGACGGCGUAGGCACCGUCCUGGCCGCGACCUGACACUGAGGCACGAAAGCUGGGGGAGCGAACAGGA
This 253-nucleotide ribosomal RNA is filed under the name uncultured prokaryote. RNAcentral's name for it is "partial 16S ribosomal RNA". It matches the Rfam family "Bacterial small subunit ribosomal RNA", at positions 525 to 777 of the family's 1533-position model. The record is from RNAcentral.